AGGCGUCCUUGCCCAUCCAGGAGGGUUGGAAGUAGAUGAUCUUCAGGUGCUUUCCAACCCAAACCAUUCCAUGAUUCUAUGAAAAUGCUGGUGAAGUGCAU
Strigops habroptila (Kakapo) is the source of this 101-nucleotide long non-coding RNA. RefSeq lists it as uncharacterized. The transcript is spliced from 3 exons. Lineage: Eukaryota; Metazoa; Chordata; Aves; Psittaciformes; Psittacidae. The record is from RefSeq and is a predicted model, not a curated record.